CCUAGGGGUGGCUGCAGUGGGGAAUAUUGGACAAUGGGCGAAAGCCUGAUCCAGCCAUGCCGCGUGUGUGAAGAAGGCCUUCGGGUUGUAAAGCACUUUCAGUGGGGAAGAAAGCCUUGGGGCUAAUACCCUCGAGGAAGGACAUCACCCACAGAAGAAGCACCGGCUAACUCCGUGCCAGCAGCCGCGGUAAUACGGAGGGUGCGAGCGUUAAUCGGAAUUACUGGGCGUAAAGCGCGCGUAGGCGGUCUGAUAAGCCGGUUGUGAAAGCCCCGGGCUCAACCUGGGAACGGCAUCCGGAACUGUCAGGCUAGAGUGCAGGAGAGGAAGGUAGAAUUCCCGGUGUAGCGGUGAAAUGCGUAGAGAUCGGGAGGAAUACCAGUGGCGAAGGCGGCCUUCUGGACUGACACUGACGCUGAGGUGCGAAAGCGUGGGUAGCAAACAGGAUUAGAUACCCGAGUAGUC
RNAcentral lists this ribosomal RNA (465 nucleotides) under Vreelandella stevensii. Its description in RNAcentral is "partial 16S ribosomal RNA". It matches the Rfam family "Bacterial small subunit ribosomal RNA", at positions 338 to 795 of the family's 1533-position model. The record is from RNAcentral. Lineage: Bacteria; Pseudomonadati; Pseudomonadota; Gammaproteobacteria; Oceanospirillales; Halomonadaceae.